UGCGUAGGCGGUUUGUUAAGUCAUUUGUAAAAGAUCUCAGCUCAACUGAGUAAGGCGAAUGAAACUGGCAGACUUGAAUACGGUAGAGGUAAGUGGAAUUCCAUGUGUAGCGGUGGAAUGCGUAGAUAUAUGGAGGAACACCAAUGGCGAAGGCAACUUACUGGGCCGGAAUUGACGCUGGGGCACGAAAGCGUGGGGAGCAAACAGGAUUAGAUACCCUGGUAGUCC
Molecule: ribosomal RNA, 228 nt
Filed under: uncultured bacterium
Lineage: Bacteria
Description: partial 16S ribosomal RNA
Rfam family: Bacterial small subunit ribosomal RNA
Source: RNAcentral